RNAcentral lists this long non-coding RNA (2154 nucleotides) under Nicotiana benthamiana. Its description in RNAcentral is "long non-coding RNA (NBEN_LNC024784)". Lineage: Eukaryota; Viridiplantae; Streptophyta; Magnoliopsida; Solanales; Solanaceae. The record is from RNAcentral.
UAAACUAACAAUAAACAAAACCAAAGGUUAGUUGUUGAAAGGGGCCCAGGCUUGCUAUGGGCCCAACUGCCAAUUGCUGGUUUCAUGUCAAACAAUGAGAAAACAAGUGGGCUUAACAUGGAGCCCAAAUUGGGAAUCUUAUAGCAGGGAGAGGGAUUUUAGCACAAUUGGGCCAAUACUAAUAGCCCAAAGUCGUGAUUCAGCACUAAUAAUUGAGGCAAAUUACAUUAUCCAUGAAAAUCUUGAGUUUGAAAACAAAAACUAGCAAUCUUUGCCGACUCUGUACAGAUGCACAACAACAUUUUUAAGCUCAAAUCACAUUCCAUAAUAAAAUGCCAACCUUAAUGUCAUAUAGCUCAAACACCAAUUAUUUCGUCUUUUAACAUUGCAGAAAUUCGAUUUUUUAACCUAAAAAAGCUAACAUGAUUAGAAAAAUGCAUCUACUAAAAUCUAAUCAAACUCCAGGUCUUUAAAGAGGGAAAGAAUGCUAAUUAAUUUCGUCAAAAACCAAAUAGAACCCAAAACUAUAUUAAGGUUCGAAACUGAUGCUUUUCUGCAGAAUACCUAACAUCAAAGGCUUCAUGCUUUUACCUUUGUCAUUUACAAAUGAAUUGUAGACUUUAAAGUCAUUUAAAACCAAAUUAAAAAUACAACUGAAUUAUAAAUAGAUAAAUUGAUGCUAUGCUUUAAACUCCAUUUUUCAUUUCAUAUUUCAAGUUAGGCUUCACAUCUGGUAGAGUCCAGGGACAUGUACCUGGUUACAACAAUCAAAAUAAGAAAAAAUGAGCGUGAAGUCUAAGAGGAAACAACAACAGUAGAUUCGAUUCAGUAAACCUGCAACAACCAGUUUUGAAAACCAAUUUUAAACUCAAAAAUAACCCUAGAAUUCUUUGUAAUAUUCAGAUACUAGAACCAACAAGCAGCUGAACCAAUUUCCACCAGAAAUUAUAAUGGAUUUCAGUAUUUUUGAAGACUCUAUUGCUUUUCUAAAAUUUCAGUAUUUUUUCAUCUCAUUAUUCUCUGACUUAAGAAUGAAGCAAUUAGCCUUUUAUAAGGAAGUUUUAGGAUAGCAGAAACGAGUUCAGUUUUUGCCUUUUAAUCCUUUUUUAAUUUUUAUUUUUGCUACCGAAUCCUUGGUUUAAAAACUUGUUUGUUAAAACAGCCCCAAACCCACCUUCCUAGAAGUUUCCUAACUCAGUUAUAAUAGAUUUUAACCUAAAAUUCCUAAACUACCCUUAUAAUCCCUGUUAUUUACUUUCAUGAACCAGCUAUGGGUCAUGUUGACCCAAAGGCUCAGCAGGCCUCUUGAAGUGGGGGCGAGGAUGGCCUCAAAACCCAAUCAAUAAACUGAUCCAGUCCAAAUAAGUGAUUUAUGAAAAGCGGAAGAAAACAAACACCUAAAUGAUUUCAAAACUAAAAUAUAACUACACGACUGAUCAAUUAUACAAAUAAGCAUACAAUUAACUAGGUUAUUAAAUCGAAACGACCAAAUUAAACUGACUAUAAGACUAAAAAAUAAAGAUAAAACUCAGGAUUUUAACAUGACAUGAACAAAAGUUAACGGGCGAAUGAAUAAAACAACAGAAAUUAGAGAACAAGCUUUUAAAAUUUGAAAAAAAAACUACACAAAAAUAAAUGGAACAAAUAAGAACACAACAAUCAAUCUAAAGGGAAAACUUAGGUUUGAACCUUGCUCAAUUUCCGGUCUACUAAAAGAAGAGGAGAAGAAAAGAAGAGGAGUAGGAGGUGAAAUAACAAAAAAUGGACAGAGAAACAAAUAAAACUUAUCUACUAAACUCGAAACCAACACUAGACUCAUUGAUUUAACACGACCAUUGUUAAUCGUUUGUUCUUUAUCAAGAACAACGACCAACACUGCUUUAUGUCAAAUUAAAGAUUAAAAACUUAAAAAUUCGGGAGUCUAGAUCAUGCAUGCCAACGAUUUGAGGGUACGGUGGGCGUUUGGGGUUUCGAACUUAGAUUUAAAAUUCAAAAGGAUGUGGAAAGAUUCGAGGGAAAUGGUUUUGAGAUUGGGAAGGGGAGGCUGUGAGGGUGUUGUGGUGCUGAUUUGGGGCUAACUAGGGGUGGCACCUUCACUGGAGAACGUUAGGGCGGAGCUAAGGUUAAGGGCGAUCUUAGAAGAGAAGAGUGAAG